RNAcentral lists this ribosomal RNA (254 nucleotides) under uncultured bacterium. RNAcentral's name for it is "partial 16S ribosomal RNA". It matches the Rfam family "Bacterial small subunit ribosomal RNA", at positions 524 to 776 of the family's 1533-position model. The record is from RNAcentral.
GACGAACUGCGCAAACGUUAUUCGGAAUCACUGGGCGUAAAGCGCACGUAGGCGGACUCUUAAGUCGGGGGUGAAAUCCUGGAGCUCAACUCCAGAACUGCCUUCGAUACUGGGAGUCUUCGAGUUCGGGAGAGGUGAGUGGAACUGCGAGUGUAGAGGUGAAAUUCGUAGAUAUUCGCAAGAACACCAGUGGCGAAGGCGGCUCACUGGCCCGAUACUAACGCUGAGGCACGAAAGCGUGGGGAGCAAACAGG